CCUACGGGGGGCAGCAGUGAGGAAUAUUGGUCAAUGGGAGAGAUCCUGAACCAGCCAAGCCGCGUGAGGGAAGACGGCCCUAUGGGUUGUAAACCUCUUUUGUCGGAGAACAAAACCCGGGACGUGUCCCGGACUGCGUGUAUCCGAAGAAAAAGCAUCGGCUAACUCCGUGCCAGCAGCCGCGGUAAUACGGAGGAUGCGAGCGUUAUCCGGAUUUAUUGGGUUUAAAGGGUGCGUAGGCGGAAUGCCAAGUCAGCGGUAAAAUCGCGGGGCUCAACCUCGCUCCGCCGUUGAAACUGGCGUUC
Molecule: ribosomal RNA, 305 nt
Filed under: uncultured bacterium
Lineage: Bacteria
Description: bacterial SSU rRNA
Rfam family: Bacterial small subunit ribosomal RNA
Source: RNAcentral